This is an RNA transcript of Diceros bicornis minor, 2201 nucleotides long. It is a transcript of the gene named MYST/Esa1 associated factor 6, with no coding region annotated. The record is from RefSeq and is a predicted model, not a curated record. The transcript is spliced from 8 exons. NCBI's taxonomy places the organism in Eukaryota, Metazoa, Chordata, Mammalia, Perissodactyla, Rhinocerotidae.
UGGCGCCGCCGCCGCCCGCCUCAGCCCAACAUGGCGAUGCACAACAAGGCGGCGCCGCCGCAGAUCCCGGACACCCGGCGGGAGCUGGCGGAGCUCGUGAAGCGGAAGCAGGAGCUGGCGGAAACACUGGCAAACUUGGAGAGACAGAUCUAUGCGUUUGAAGGGAGCUACCUGGAGGACACUCAGAUGUAUGGCAACAUUAUUCGUGGCUGGGAUCGGUAUCUGACCAACCAAAAAAACUCCAAUAGCAAAAACGAUCGAAGGAACCGGAAGUUUAAGGAGGCUGAGAGACUCUUCAGUAAAUCCUCAGUGACUUCAGCAGCUGCAGUAAGUGCAUUGGCAGGAGUUCAAGACCAGCUCAUUGAAAAGAGGGAGCCGGGAAGUGGGACGGAAAGCGAUACUUCUCCAGACUUCCACAAUCAGGAAAAUGAGCCGAGCCAGGAGGACCCUGAGGAUCUGGACGGAUCUGUGCAGGGAGUGAAGCCUCAGAAGGCUGCUUCUUCUGCUUCCUCGGGGAGUCACCACAGCAGCCAUAAAAAACGAAAGAACAAAAACCGGCACAGGUAUGUAUAUUAGGUUAGGCUGGGAAGUUUUUUUUAAAAACAGAAAAACGUGAUGGAGGAUUGAUCUGAAGUUAAACAAAAAACCACGAGCUGACUACUAGAAGAUUCGUUAGUGCAGAAGCUUCCAGGCUCUAGAGUCCUGCUUCCCUCCUCCGACCUCACAAAGAUAAAUAUCCCUCACCUGUGUGUGGCCACCCACCUCUGCUUUCCCAGACCCAGUGCCUGUGACUCUGAGUGGUUUGUUCUGAAAUGUGGUGACAAACAAGUCAUUUCUGUCAGACUGCAUCGGAUCAUUGACUGUGUCAUUUUUAGUAACAGAACUGCAGGAAGACCAAGACCUGGUUACAGUCCCAGCAAGUUGCUAACUGUGCGUUUCUCCCUUCUUGGAAUGAAUGUCUCCCCCUAGACUGGCUGGCACCAGCGUCAUCUGUGAUACCCAUCGAGAAAUGUUCUCUGCUUUUGUUUUAUGCUGAAAGUAGAACACAGGUCACAUUUCAGAGGGAGGCUGUAAAUAUCUGGCAGUUUCUUAUUUUGUUUGUGUUUUAUUAUUUUUCUAUUGUUGUUUUUACCAUCUUCUUUGGGCUUUUUGUAAUGCUGUUGUACAGCUCGUACCUUCCUGCUGACAUAUCUGAUAAUCUGUUUCGUGCUGUUGCCAAUAUUCUUAACUGAAGAUAAUCUGGUUUACCAUAAAUAAAAUGGGGAACUUGGCUCUGUUUUUUUGCAGGAGGAAGGUAAAGAGUGUUUAUUUAAUAAUUGCCUAUCUUAAAUCUUUCUGAGUUGGAAACAGUUUCAUGUUCAAGGAACAGGAAAAGCUGAAAAACAUAAGUUUAAAUCAAUCCUUUAAAAUAGAUAUUUUUAUUUUUUUGUAUAAAUAAAUUUUCACAGGCUUUGACUUCUCAUGCUUUACUUUUAAACCUGAGAUAGUUUUUUCACUUAUUUUAAAAUAAUUUAUUCAUAUCAUGCCUUAUUGAAAUUUCUUUCUCUUUCCAUCUUUUCUCUCUUUGCUGGUUUUUGCCUGAUUAAAUAUUGCUCUAAAAAUCACUAAGGCGUAUAGAAAGGCUCAGAAUUGCACCCAAAGCUGAUACCAUAUGGAGUUCUUGAGCAGAGUGAAAGACAGGAUCAAUGAGAGCCAGCGAUGCCCAACAGACUCUCUUCCGUACAGGGGUUGCUGGUCUGCGGAACUUGCUGAUAACUGUUGCCUGCCUCCAGAGCAGUGCUGACCUGCCUCAGCUGCACAUUGGAAUCACCUGGGAAGCUUAAAAAACACUGCUGCCUGGGUCCCAGCCCCAGAGACUGCCUGGGUCCCGUCUAGUUGUUGAGAUUUCCUUUCAGAGAGUCCCUGGGAUUCUGAUCAGAAGCCAAGUUGAGAAGCACUGCGUUAGGAGACUGGAUGGUUUGAUUUAAAUCCUAUGUUGUGAAUCAGUCUAGGGAUAAGAUUUGGGGCCUCACCUUUCCUUCGACUCUCUUAGUCAUAGUCCUUUACUUAUGCCCGUAUCUUUGUUAGAAAAAAAUAUGUUCCAUUUGUGAUAAUAUUCGUAGAGCUGAAUAUGGAUGGCAUCUCUUAUCAAAACAAGUCUACCUUGUCAAAUGUGCAAAAGCUUUCACUCUUCUUCUCAAAUAAAAUUUUUUUUGACUCUG